CUGUCACAGAGGCUUCAAACAGUGUGUGUGAGCAUAUUAUUAUCUGACAUUCAUAUUUAAUUGUUGCUUUGACUGAGGGUGAACGUUGAGGUUAAACCGCCUUGAUUUGAGAGCCGUUUCUGCACGACUGUGACGUUUGGCACAUGCUUUUCUCAGAGAGCGAGAGAGAGAGAGAGAGGGAGAGGGAAAGAACGAGAGAAGGAGAGGGGAAGGAGGAGGUCUGAAUGUCUUUUUGCAGUUCAGACCUCCACAGCCAGACACAACCAUCAACCUUUAUGACACCCAGAAAAUUGCAGAUUUACUCUAAAUUAUACACACGUCUGGAUGCAAACAGACACGUAUGAGACCAACAGACUCUGCAAUGAUUCUCGCUUUGUUUUUUGCAUCUUUGUGGUUUUUGUGGUUGUCUUCUGUGAGCUUCAGAGCGUCUUUACCGGCACUUGAUCUGUGAAGAGCUCUCUGCUCCAUCUUCUGCUGCCUGAGACGUGAACCCCAGAGAGACUCUUAAUGAAUCAGUUUUCGCCGCUCGAUGCCAUGGCGUUCAACCGGCGGCUUUUGUAAUUCUCUCUGAAGGACGGAUCUUCAGGUGUAGUCGAGCGUCGUGGGAUAGUUACAGAGGAAACAUCACGCUGCCGAGGAUCCCGGAGUCUAACAUGGCUCUGAGCGUGUUAGGUAUGUUUCUGGGAUUGCUUCUGGAAGUUUCCACACACGGACCCUCCAGCGUUCCCAGAAGCUCAUGGAGGCAUGACGGUGAGUGAAGGGUUAAAGUUUCUCUUGUCAGAAAUGAAACCUCUGCAGGUGCCACACAUCUGACUUCCUGUGCUUAUAAAACAUGCUUCUGAAUUGUGUGUAUAAAUAUAUAAUUUUUUUUAACAUUGUAUAUUAGAAUGAUUUCUGAAGGAUCAUGUGACACUGAAGACUGGAGUAAUGAUGCUUUGAUCACAGGAAUAAAUUUCAUUUCAACAGAUAUUCA
This is a long non-coding RNA of Cyprinus carpio (common carp), 973 nucleotides long. Lineage: Eukaryota; Metazoa; Chordata; Actinopteri; Cypriniformes; Cyprinidae. The record is from Ensembl.